GAUGAACGCUGGCGGCGUGCCUAAUACAUGCAAGUCGAGCGAACGGACGAGAAGCUUGCUUCUCUGAUGUUAGCGGCGGACGGGUGAGUAACACGUGGAUAACCUACCUAUAAGACUGGGAUAACUUCGGGAAACCGGAGCUAAUACCGGAUAAUAUUUUGAACCGCAUGGUUCAAAAGUGAAAGACGGUCUUGCUGUCACUUAUAGAUGGAUCCGCGCUGCAUUAGCUAGUUGGUAAGGUAACGGCUUACCAAGGCAACGAUGCAUAGCCGACCUGAGAGGGUGAUCGGCCACACUGGAACUGAGACACGGUCCAGACGCCUACGGGAGGCAGCAGUAGGGAAUCUUCCGCAAUGGGCGAAAGCCUGACGGAGCAACGCCGCGUGAGUGAUGAAGGUCUUCGGAUCGUAAAACUCUGUUAUUAGGGAAGAACAUAUGUGUAAGUAACUGUGCACAUCUCGACGGUACCUAAUCAGAAAGCCACGGCUAACUACGU
This 496-nucleotide ribosomal RNA is filed under the name uncultured bacterium. Its description in RNAcentral is "partial 16S ribosomal RNA". It matches the Rfam family "Bacterial small subunit ribosomal RNA", at positions 28 to 506 of the family's 1533-position model. The record is from RNAcentral.